GUCAAUCAUUUCAACGGGCACUUCAUUUGUGAUUAAAAUGAGGAUGAAGGCAUACCUUAACAUGAAUGAAAUGAGAAAAUCAAAAUAAUACAUAGUUGAAAUGAGGUGACAGAAUGGAUACAUGAUUCAAAUCGGGCAAUUAGAGGGUACACAAGUCAAACGAAGGGAUGAGUCCAUGAUUAAAAUGAUUGGAUGGAACAAUACACGGUUGGAAUGAGGGGAUGCAUGAUACAAGGUUGUACAGAGAGGAUGCAUGAUACAAGGUUGUACAGAGAGGAUGCAUGAUACAAGGUUGUACAGAGGGGAUGCAUGAUACAAGGUUGUAUAGAAAGGAUGCAUGAUACAAGGUUGUAUAGAAAGGAGGCAUGAUACAAGGUUGUACAGAAAGGAGGCAUGAUACAAGGUUGUAUAGAAAGGAGGCAUGAUACAAGGUUGUACAGAAAGGAGGCAUGAUACAAGGUUGUACAGAAAGGAGGCAUGAUACAAGGUUGUACAGAAAGGAGGCAUGAUACAAGGUUGUAUAGAAAGGAGGCAUGAUACAAGGUUGUACAGAGAGGAUGGAAUGGAAAGGCAUGAGCCGCUGAAAGAAAUCCAUGACUGAAAUGAACUGUUGAAAGAGGUACAUGUACAAUAGGAUAUAAAGGGUACAAGAUGAAUAUUAAAGGAUGAAAAAAAAUACAGGACUGAAUCAAGGGACUUGACUCAAUUCAAUUGAGAGAAUAUAAAAAUACAUGACUGAAUUGAGUGAUUUGAUGAGAAACAGAGGGACUGGAAGAGGAACAUAAAUGAGGAAUUUGAUGAGAAACAUGAUAUAAUUAAGAGGUUGGAUGAGAAACAUGAUCAAAUUAACGGUACUGGGGGAGAUACAUGACUGAAUUAAGGGAUUGGAUGAGAAACAUGAUCAAAUUAAAGGUACUGGAGGCAAUACAUGACUGAAUUAAGGGACUGGAUGAGAAACAUGAUCAAACUGAGGGAUUGGAUGAUAUACCUGAUUUGAAUGAAGGGUAAGAAGGCGUACAUGAUUGAAACGAAUGAAUCAGAAUACAUGAUUUAAAAGGAGUAUGAGAUGAUAAAUGGUGGGAAGGAUGGGAAGGAGGGGAUGAAAAAGAUAAAAAAAAAACUGAGUGAGGGUUACAUGGGAUACAACUAAAAUUAGACAUGGAGAGGAUACAGGGUUCACAUCAACGGAUGGAAGGUAAACAAAAUGAAGUGAAUGAUUACAACUUCAGUGCACCUCAGCCGCAUUGUAACGCCAAUACAUCAUGCUAAUACAAUAUUAAUGGUGGGAUGGAUAGACACUUGAUUGUAAUGAGUAACUGGAAAAGAUACAGAAUUGAAAUGUGAAGAUGUCAAAAAAACCAAAAUCUGGCUGAAUUGAGACACUGGAGGUACAUUAUUGAAAUGAAGGGUUGGAAGCCAUAAAGAACAUGAUUGAAAUAAGAGGAUGUCAAAAGGACUGAAUGGAGGGAUUGGAAAGGAUACAAAAUUCAAAUAAUGGGGAAGAAAAGGGCAUUUCACUAGGGAUUAAAAUGAAGGAUGCACGACUGAUUCAAGGGGAUAAAAGACGACUGAAAUCAGGGGAUGAAAGACACAUGAUUGAAAUGAGGGGAUGAAGGAUACAUGAUUGAAAUGAGGGGAUGGAAGACACAUUAUUGAAAUGAGGGAUGAAGGAUACAUGAUUGAAAUGAGGGAUGAAGGAUACAUGAUUGAAAUGAGGGGGAUGAAGGAUACUUUGCUGAGAUGUUUGGACAGGAGAAACAAGAGAGCAGAUGAUUUAAACUCACAUACCACAGAAGAAUAAAUGAAAGGUGUUUGGUGAAGGAUUUAUAACUGAAUCAAUGUUGAAAGAAUGGGUCAAAUGGGAGGCACAACUGGCUUAGUUUUAGAUGGUUGACAUGAUUGGUAAAACAAGAGAUAUUGCUAAAAAAAAGGGACAUGGUUGACCUCAUUGGUUAAAUGGGAUGUAAGAUUAGCUUGAGGGAUGGUAGUGGACAGGAUUGGGCAUGACUAAAAUGUAAGAUGAAUAAUCAACAUGACAUCAACAUGAGAGACAGGACUAAAUGGAGGGAUGCACAUGCGACAUGAUUGAUAACAUCAGAGACCUGGUUAAAUGAGGGAUACAUGGGUGGUUGACACGAUUAGUGUGAUAAGAGACAUUCUUACACUGAGGGAUGGAUGGUUGAUGUGACUGGUGAAAUGGGAGAUGUGAUUGAAUGAAGAAUGGAUGGUUCACAGGAUUAAGAGACCUGAUUAAAUGAGGGAUGGAUGGCUGACAUGAUUCAUAAAAUGGGAGACCUGAUUAAAUGAGGGAUGGAUGGUUGACGGGAUUGGUGAAUAAGGAGAAAUGGCUAAAUGAGGGAUGGAUGGUCGAUUGUAUCAUGAUUGAUACAAUUGAUGAUAUUAAAUUCAACGAUGGGUGACUGACAUGAUUAAAUGAGGAAUGGACUUAAACAUCAUUGAUGAAACGAGAGACAUGAUCAAAUGAGGGAGGGAUGGUUGACAUGAUUGGUGAAAUGGGAGACAAGAUCAAAUGAGGGAUGAAUGGGUGACAAGGUGGAGUACACCCCGAGAGGCAGCCAACAUGAGCUGAACUUACAGCGACCGCAUUGGUGACAGACUCCUCGGUUAGGUGACACUAUUAAACUGAGGGUUGGAAUGUGGACAUGAUUGGUAAAAUGAGAGACAUGAUUAAAUGGGGGAGGGAUGGUUGACAUGAUGGAUAAAAUGGGAGACAUGAUUGAGGGAGGGAUGGCUGUCUGACAUGAUUGGUUGAAUGAGAGGCAUUAAUAAAUAGAAGAAUGUAUGGGUAACAUCACUGGUAAAACGGGGCAUAAAAUGUUGACAAGAUUGGUGAAUUGGGAGACCUGAUUGAAUGAGGGAUGGAAUGUUGAUAUGAUUGGUGAAAUGAGAGACAUGAUUAAAUGGGGGAUGGAUGGUAAAGAUGUUUGAUGGAGUGGGAGACCUGAUUAAAUGGGGGAUGGAUGGUUCACAGGAUUGAAGAAAUGGGAGACAUGACUUUAAAACUGAAAGUUGUUGACAUGAUUACAUGCGAGACAGAAUGGUUUGAUUAUCUAAAUAGGAAACAUUAUUAAACCGAGGGAUGGCUGGUCAAGAUCACAGAUGAAAUGAGAGACAUGAUCAAAUGAGGGAUGGAUGGUCGACAUCACUGAUGAAACGGGAGACAUGAACAAAUGAGGGAUGGAUGGUUGACAUGACUGGUGAAAUGGGAGAAAAGAUUAAAUGAGGGAUGGAUGGGUGAGCUGAAUGCUCCUCAUGUACACCCUGAGAGAAAGCCAACAUGAGCUAGACUUGAACUCAAAACGACCACAUUGGUGACAGCCUCCUGGGUUAAGCAACAUUAUUAAACCAGAGGAUGGAUGGUCAACAUUAUUAGUGAAAUGGGAGGAGACAUGAUUAAAUGGGGGAUGGAUAGUUGACAUGAUUGGUUAAAUGAGAAGCAUUAUUAAAUGGAGUGAUGUGGAGGGAUGUAUGGGUAACAUCACCAGUAAAAUGAAAGAAAUGUUUAAACUGAAAAAUGAUGACAGGAUUAUCUAAAUGGGAGACAUUUUUAAACCAAAUAAUGGAUGAUCAACAUUACUGGUGAAAUGGGAGACCUGGCUGAAUGAGGGAUGGAUGGUUGCCAUGAUUUGUGAAAUGAGAAGCGUUCUUAAAUGGAGGGAUGUAUGGCUAACAUCACAGAUAAAAGGAGUCAAAUUUUCAAUUGAAAGACCUGGACACGAUUAAAUGGAGGGAUACAAUCCUGACUUCACUGUCUAAAUGGGAGACAUUAUUCACCUGAGGGACUGAUGGUGGACAUGAUUGGUGAAAUGGGAGACCUGAUUGAAUGAGGGAUUGAUGGUAAUCAUGACAAGUAAAAUUGGAGACAUUCACUGAUGAGGGACUGAUGGUGAUCAUGAUUGGUGAAAUGGGAGACCUGAUUGAAUAAGUGACUGAUGGUGAUCAUGAUUGGUGAAAUGGGAGGCCUGAUCGAAUGAUGGUGAUCAUGAUCGCUGAAAUGGGAGAUCUGACUGAAUGAGAGAUGGAUGGUUGUCAUGACUAGUGAAAUGAGAGACAUGAUUAAAUGAUGGUGACCAUGAUCGCUGAAAUGGGAGACCUGGAUGGUUGACAUGACUAGUGAAAUGAGAGACCUGAUUGAAUGAUGGUGAUCGUGAUUGGUGAAAUGGGAGACCUGAUUGAAUGAGGAACUGAUGGUGAUCAUGAUUGGUGAAAUGGGAGACCUGACUGAAUGAUGGUGAUCAUGAUUGGAGAAAUGGGAGACCUGAUUGAAUGAUGGUGAUCAUGAUUGGUGAAAUGGGAGACCUGAUUGCAUGAGGAACUGAUGGUGAUCAUGAUUGGUGAAAUGGGAAACCUGACUGAAUGAUGGUGAUCAUGAUUGGUGAAAUGGGAGACCUGAUUGAAUGAGGGACUGAUGGUGAUCACGACUGGUGAAAUAGGGACCUGAUUGAAUGAGGGACUGAUGGUGAUCACGAAUGGUGAAAUAGGGACCUGAUUGAAUGAGGGACUGAUGGUGAUCAUGAUUGGUGAAAUGGGAGACCUGACUGAAUGAUGGUGAUCACGAUUGGUGAAAUGGGAGACCUGAUUGAAUGAGGGACUGAUGGUGAUCACGACUGGUGAAAUAGGGACCUGAUUGAAUGAGGGACUGAUGGUGAUCAUGAUUGGUGAAAUGGGAGACCUGAUUGAAUAAGGACUGAUGGUGAUCAUGACUGGUGACAUACGGACCUGAUUGAAUGAGGGGCUGAUGGUGAUCAAGAUAGGUGAAAUAGGAGACCAGACUGAAUGAGGGAUGGAUAGUUGACAUGAUAGGUGAAAUGGAAGACAUGAACAAAUAACCGAUGGGUGGUGGACGUAAUUGGUGAAAUAGGAGACCUGACAGAAUGAGGGAUGGAAGGUUGACAUGAUUGGUGAAAUGGGAGACCUGACUGAAUGAGGGAUGGAAGGUUGACAUGAUUGGUGAAAUGGGAGACAUGAUUGAAUGAGG
Molecule: long non-coding RNA, 4999 nt
Organism: Liolophura sinensis
Lineage: Eukaryota; Metazoa; Mollusca; Polyplacophora; Chitonida; Chitonidae
Exons: 3
Source: RefSeq, a predicted model, not a curated record